GUAACACGUAGCUAACCUGCCUUUAGGUUGGGGAUACCCUCGGGAAACUGAGGCUAAUACCUGAUAGGAGAAAAUCUCUGGAAGGAAUUAUCUCUGAAACUUACCUAAAGAUGGGGCUGCGGCGGAUUAGGUUGUUGGUAGUGUAAAGGACCACCAAGCCUUUGAUCCGUAAGGGCUCUUAGCGGAGAAGCCCUGAGAAGGAAUCUUAGACACUAUUCCUAGCCUUACGGGGUGCAGCAGUCGAGGAAAUUUUACAAUGCUCGAAAGAGUGAUAAAAUGAGUCAGAGUGUUUUCUUUUAGAAAACUUUUGUCAGUUGCAAAAAGACUGGCGAAUAAGGACUGGGCAAGACCGGUGCCAGCCGCCGCGGUAAUACCGGCGGUCCAAGUCGCAUCCACAUUUAUUUGGUCUAAAACAUUCGUAGCUUGUUUUGUAAGUUUCUUGUGAAAUCUGACAUCUUAAGUGUCAGGCGUGCAAGAAAUACUACAUUGCUAGAGACUGGAAGAUGCAAAGAGUAUGAUUGAGGUAGUGGUAAAAUAUGUUAAUCUUAAUCAGACUAACAAUAGCGAAGGCACUUUGCAAGUACAGAUCUGACAGUGAGGAAUGAAGGCUAGGGGCGCAAAAGGGAUUAGAUACCCCUGUAGUCCUAGCAGUAAACCCUGCUCACUAAACAUUAGUGCCUCCUCGAGAGGCAUUAGUGCUGUAGAGAAGUCGAAGAGUGAGCUACCUGGGAAGUAUAGUCGCAAGGCUGAA
Molecule: ribosomal RNA, 751 nt
Filed under: uncultured archaeon
Lineage: Archaea
Description: bacterial SSU rRNA
Rfam family: Archaeal small subunit ribosomal RNA
Source: RNAcentral